RNAcentral lists this ribosomal RNA (427 nucleotides) under uncultured prokaryote. RNAcentral describes it as "bacterial SSU rRNA". It matches the Rfam family "Bacterial small subunit ribosomal RNA", at positions 355 to 796 of the family's 1533-position model. The record is from RNAcentral.
UGGGGAAUCUUGGACAAUGGGGGCAACCCUGAUCCAGCGACGCCGCGUGAGGGAGGAAGGCUCUUGGGUUGUAAACCUCUUUUCUCAGGGAAGAAGCAAAUGACGGUACCUGAGGAAUAAGCAUCGGCUAACUCCGUGCCAGCAGCCGCGGUAAUACGGAGGAUGCAAGCGUUAUCCGGAAUCAUUGGGCGUAAAGCGUCCGCAGGUGGCGCUUCAAGUCUGCUGUCAAAGACCGGAGCUCAACUCUGGAAAGGCAGUGGAAACUGAAGAGCUAGAGUGCGGUAGGGGUAGAGGGAAGUCCCAGUGUAGCGGUGAAAUGCGUAGAGAUUGGGAAGAACAUCGGUGGCGAAAGCGCUCUGCUGGACCGCAACUGACACUCAGGGACGAAAGCUAGGGGAGCGAAAGGGAUUAGAUACCCCGGUAGUCC